UUUCUGACCUAUCAGCUGCCGUCGGUAAGGUCGUGGCUUACUGAGGCAAUAACGGGUAACGGGGAAUUAGGGUUUGAUUCCGAAGAGGGAGCCUGAGAAAUAGCUACCACGUCUAAGGAUGGCAGCAGGCGCGCAAAUUACCCAAUCCCGACAUGGGGAGGUAGUGAAAAGAAAUAUCAACUCAGGGUUAUUACUCUGUGAUUGAAAUGAGUGUAAUGUUUAAGCAAAUGCAAUGAGCAAUUGGAGGGCAAGUCUGGUGCCAGCAGCCGCGGUAAUUCCAGCUCCAAUAGCGUAUAUUAAAGUUGUUGCAGUUAAAGCGUCCGUAGUCG
This 329-nucleotide ribosomal RNA is filed under the name uncultured eukaryote. RNAcentral describes it as "bacterial SSU rRNA". It matches the Rfam family "Eukaryotic small subunit ribosomal RNA", at positions 304 to 636 of the family's 1831-position model. The record is from RNAcentral.